UACAGAGGUCCCGAGCGUUGUUCGGAUUCACUGGGCGUAAAGGGUGCGUAGGUGGCUUUGCAAGUCUGAUGUGAAAUCUCCGGGCUUAACCCGGAAAGGUCAACUGAUACUGUGCGACUAGAGUGCAGAAGGGGCAACUGGAAUUCUCGGUGUAGCGGUGAAAUGCGUAGAUAUCGAGAGGAACACCUGCGGCGAAGGCGGGUUGCUGGGCUGACACUGACGCUGAUGCGCGAAAGCCAGGGGAGCGAACGGG
RNAcentral lists this ribosomal RNA (253 nucleotides) under uncultured bacterium. Its description in RNAcentral is "partial 16S ribosomal RNA". It matches the Rfam family "Bacterial small subunit ribosomal RNA", at positions 524 to 776 of the family's 1533-position model. The record is from RNAcentral.